UUUUAAGCUUAGUUGGAAGCCUGAGAUAUUUAGCUUGUACAAGGCCGGAUAUAUUAUUUGGAGUGGGACUGGUUAGUCGUUAUUUGGAGGCUCCAAAGACAACACAUUUGAAAGUUGCAAAGAGAAUUUUACGUUACAUCAAAGGUACUCUUAAUUUCGGGUUACAUUAUUAUGCCUCUAAUGUUUUUAGACUUAGAGGUUUCCGUUGAUUGGGGUGACGACAUUGAUGAUCGAAAGAGUACCAGUGGAUUUGUAUUUUACAUGGGUAACACAGCUUUAACUUGGAGCUCAAAGAAGCAACAAAUUGUUACUCUGUCAACUUGUGAAGUUGAGUAUGUUGCUGUCAGUUCUUGUGUUACACAAGCAGUUUGGCUAAGGAAUUUGUUGAAUGAGCUUAAUUUUGCACAAAGAGAGCCUAUCGAAUUAAGUGUGGAUAACAAAUCAGCCAUUGCUUUAGCAAAGAAUCCGUUGUUUCAUGAACGUAGCAAGCAUAUAGGUACCAAAUAUCACUUUGUGCGUGAAUGCAUUGCAAACAAGGUAGUGAAGAUUAAUUUUGCUCAAGUUCAAUACUUUUAAGGCAUUAAGAAGCUUGCUUGGAGUAUGCAAAAUUCAUGUUUAAGGGGGGGUCUUUGAAAAAUAAACAUGCAUUUAACCUAUUUAAUUUAGUUUCAUGAAUUUAGGAGUUUGAAAUACAUUUAUUAUUAAUUAAUAUGCACCUAGUUAAUUGUGGUUCAUGUAUGCAUGUAUUAUUAAUUAAUGUGUACCUAGUAAAUUGUGAUGCAUGUAGUAGGAUUAAAUUGAGGGGAUGAACUUAUGUGAUAGGAAGUCCUAUAAAUAUCUAUGUAAUCUUGAGUUGAAGGCAAGUCCACAAUUGAGUAGAAAAUUAUUUUCUCCUAAG
This 898-nucleotide long non-coding RNA is filed under the name Olea europaea subsp. europaea. Lineage: Eukaryota; Viridiplantae; Streptophyta; Magnoliopsida; Lamiales; Oleaceae. The record is from RNAcentral.